This is an RNA transcript of Schistocerca gregaria, 907 nucleotides long. It is a transcript of the gene named RING-box protein 2, with no coding region annotated. The transcript is spliced from 3 exons. NCBI's taxonomy places the organism in Eukaryota, Metazoa, Arthropoda, Insecta, Orthoptera, Acrididae. The record is from RefSeq and is a predicted model, not a curated record.
GCCGGCGUCGCCGAUUGGACAAUUAGCGACGUGCCAGCAUUUUUUUUUCUUUUUCUUUGCGUCCCCUUUCUGUCCAUUGUCUCGCUGCGUCCGAGAGGCGCGUCCCAGGACCCACGAUUCAGCGAUGGUUUCGCGAGGGCAAGAGCCACCGAGGCACACAAUUGACCCCCGUAAGGGUUUGCUUAUGUGACUGACCGCGCAGAAGCCGAUCCGGGGUGCUCCCGCCCGCGAAGCCGUGUGACGUCGAUUGGUCUCUGCCAAUCGCGAGCCCGCUACCCCCUCCACGGGCGCACCGCCGCGUGCCCGUACCUGUGGUCAUUCAGGUGAGAACCGUGCCAGGGAGCGGAUGUGUUUCGUAGUACUCUCCCGCAGUCAACGGACUGGCCGUUGCACGCAAUCCGCAGUUUUUCCCGGUCACUUCCCGACUCUCGUAUUGUACACAGCAAACUUUGUGGCGUCUAUUCCUGACGUUUACUGUCGGUUGCGUUGUUUCUCCUAUGUAGCAAAGUUUUAUAUGGCGCGUGUAGGAUGUGGCCAACAGUAAGUGGCCUAAACGACAAAUCGGUCAUCGGCUCCCGGGACUCCUUCUUUCGUGAAGGGCUUCGUGUCGUGGAAGAGUUUCGCAGAAAUUCACCUGCCUUUGCUGACAUUAUUAGAGGACACGCUGGGCUCGGAUGGAAGCGGCCAGUGAGCCUCGCGUUUCUGGUUAUCGCGCCUUGUUCUUUCUUUCCUUAAUAGCUGCAGAUAAGAGCACAGUAAAGGCGCAAAGGUCACAUCCAUAAAGCGGCCCGUUAAGAAGUGGGUUUCUGCAGCAAUGACGCAGACGCGUGCCUGCGCUGCCAGGCGGAGAGCAAGCAGGACAGCCGUCAGGGGCGCGCGGGCCAGCAGGACUGCGUGGUGGUGUGGG